RNAcentral lists this transfer RNA (75 nucleotides) under Trigonolampa miriceps (threelight dragonfish). Its description in RNAcentral is "tRNA-Leu (UUR)". It matches the Rfam family "tRNA". Rfam says of the family: Transfer RNA (tRNA) molecules are approximately 80 nucleotides in length. Their secondary structure includes four short double-helical elements and three loops (D, anti-codon, and T loops). Further hydrogen bonds mediate the characteristic L-shaped molecular structure. tRNAs have two regions of fundamental functional importance: the anti-codon, which is responsible for specific mRNA codon recognition, and the 3' end, to which the tRNAs corresponding amino acid is attached (by aminoacyl-tRNA synthetases). tRNAs cope with the degeneracy of the genetic code in two manners: having more than one tRNA (with a specific anti-codon) for a particular amino acid; and 'wobble' base-pairing, i.e. permitting non-standard base-pairing at the 3rd anti-codon position. Lineage: Eukaryota; Metazoa; Chordata; Actinopteri; Stomiiformes; Stomiidae. The record is from RNAcentral.
AUUAAGGUGGCAGAGCCCGGUAAUUGCGAAAGACCUAAGCCCUUUUCCCCAGGGGUUCAACUCCUCUCCUUGAUA